GAUUGUGGCUUAGUGGCAGAGUGCUUGCCUAGCACGUGUGAGACACUGGGUUAGAUCCUCAGCACAAUCA
Molecule: transfer RNA, 70 nt
Filed under: Marmota marmota marmota (Alpine marmot)
Lineage: Eukaryota; Metazoa; Chordata; Mammalia; Rodentia; Sciuridae
Also listed under: 1 other name
Rfam family: tRNA
About the family: Transfer RNA (tRNA) molecules are approximately 80 nucleotides in length. Their secondary structure includes four short double-helical elements and three loops (D, anti-codon, and T loops).
Source: Rfam by way of RNAcentral